AAACUUUCAACAACGGAUCUCUUGGUUCCGACAUCAUGAAGAACGCAGCGAAAUGCGAUAAGUAAUGUGAAUUGCAGAAUUCCGUGAAUCAUCGAAUCUUUGAACGCACAUUGCGCCCCCUGGUAUUCCGGGGGGCAUGCCUGUCCGAGCGUCAUUG
RNAcentral lists this ribosomal RNA (157 nucleotides) under Histoplasma capsulatum. RNAcentral's name for it is "5.8S rRNA". It matches the Rfam family "5.8S ribosomal RNA". Rfam says of the family: 5.8S ribosomal RNA (5.8S rRNA) is a component of the large subunit of the eukaryotic ribosome. It is transcribed by RNA polymerase I as part of the 45S precursor that also contains 18S and 28S rRNA. The record is from RNAcentral. Lineage: Eukaryota; Fungi; Ascomycota; Eurotiomycetes; Onygenales; Ajellomycetaceae.